UAGGGAAUCUUCCGCAAUGGACGCAAGUCUGACGGAGCAACGCCGCGUGAGUGAAGAAGGAUUUCGGUUCGUAAAACUCUGUUGUUAGAGAAGAACAGCGCAUAGCGUAACCGUUAUGCGUGUGACGGUAUCUAACCAGAAAGCCACGGCUAACUACGUGCCAGCAGCCGCGGUAAUACGUAGGUGGCAAGCGUUGUCCGGAUUUAUUGGGCGUAAAGCGAGCGCAGGCGGUCAAUUAAGUCUGAUGUGAAAGCCCCCGGCUCAACCGGGGAGGGUCAUUGUAAACUGGUUGAGUUGAGUGCAGAAGGGGAGAGGGGAAUUCCAUGUGGAGCGGUGAAAGGCGUAGAUAUAUGGAGGAAAACCAGUGGCGGAGGCGACUCUCUGGUCUGUAACUGACGGUGGGGUUCGAAAGCGUGGGUAGCAAACAGG
This 429-nucleotide ribosomal RNA is filed under the name Bacteroidota bacterium. Its description in RNAcentral is "Bacteroidetes bacterium partial 16S ribosomal RNA". It matches the Rfam family "Bacterial small subunit ribosomal RNA", at positions 355 to 776 of the family's 1533-position model. Lineage: Bacteria; Pseudomonadati; Bacteroidota. The record is from RNAcentral.